GUAGAGGAAGGGAGUGGAGGGUGCAGAGUGUCAGGAAGAGGAAGAGCGAGAGUGUUGCAAGAGAAGUACUGGUCUGUGCUGCGUGUGGGAAGUGACUUUAGUGGCGGCGUGAAGGCGAGGACACGAGUGAGGUGCUGGCAGGCUGACUGAGAACGUCAUUGUACGACAGAGUAGCCAGCUAAACAGCCGAGCCCUCAGCGUGCGCCUCCCGCCGGACAAGGGACCCUACAUCCAACACUACCUCAUUGAGAUCCACAACGAAGGCUCCUCCUACUCACUCCAAGCUUCUGAAAACCGCUUCGACACCCUUCCUUCGCUCAUCACCUAUUAUUCUCAGUGCUGCGAAGAGUUGCUGGCUCAGCUCAAGCUUCCUCGCACCGUCCAGGAGGCCAAGACCCGCCAUGAACUCGGCUCUCUCUCGCUGCUCGGACAAGGUGGUGCAUCACAGCGUCAGACUCACAGAGGAUGUGUAGCCGAGGCAAUGACACGUGGACGGCGCUGAUGGCGGCCAGAACCUCUUGGGCGUCUUGGUCACACACGGCCAGGCUGAGCACCCCCAGGUCCCGCCACUCCUGCAGCAGCUGUGUGCCGGCACCACUUAAGUGACCCAUGAACCUCUCAAGGAAGAUGAGCUUCGCGCGACGGACGCAAACUUUCGGAGCGGCGGCCAUGGUGGAGGGCUUGGGACACAGUUCUUCUCGCCAGCAGCCUGCAAAGAAAUUUCCCAAAAACAGUUGGCCUAAAUAAUAAUGGCAGAAGUAAGACUAAGCUUUGAAGAAAGAACAUGUCAUAAAGUGUUACUGGAGGCACGAAAAUGUCAAAGAAGUGCAAAGACAAUUCACAAGACACUUUGACAGGGAUCCACCAAGGUGACGCGCCAUUGCUCGCAUCACAGCUAAAUUUGCAUCAACAACCACCACCACCACCACCACCAGCAUGGCAGUAGUAGCAGGAGUAGUGAAUGGUCACACGUUUGUGGUGACUUCUUGGACUAUCAGGCUGCCCUUGUAGUGUGCUGGACUAUCGGUGAACAAGGAGACCUGAAAGUUACGUGGUACAACUAUUUCGGUGAUAGAAGUGGCUGAGUUGCCGAUCCAAAGGCCUGGCUUAAGAGUGAUCCCGAGCUACCUGUACCAUCAAGAUCAA
Molecule: long non-coding RNA, 1146 nt
Organism: Scylla paramamosain (green mud crab)
Lineage: Eukaryota; Metazoa; Arthropoda; Malacostraca; Decapoda; Portunidae
Exons: 8
Source: RefSeq, a predicted model, not a curated record